AACGCGAAGAACCUUACCUGGGCUCGAACGGCUGGUCAACGCCGGUGGAAACAUCGGUACCCCGCAAGGGGGUCCAGUCGAGGUGCUGCAUGGCUGUCGUCAGCUCGUGUCGUGAGAUGUUGGGUUAAGUCCCGCAACGAGCGCAACCCUUGUCCUGUGUUGCCAUGCCCGAAAGGGCGGAACUCGCAGGAGACCGCCAGCGAUAAGCUGGAGGAAGGUGGGGAUGACGUCAAGUCCUCAUGGCCUUUAUGUCCAGGGCUACACACGUGCUACAAUGGCCGGUACAAAGCGUCCCGAAGCCGCGAGGUGGAGGCAAUCGCAAAAAACCGGUCUCAGUUCGGAUUGCAGGCUGCAACUCGCCUGCAUGAAGCUGGAAUCGCUAGUAAUGGCAGAUCAGCACGCUGCCGUGAAUACGUUCCCGGGCCUUGUACACACCGGUAUCUC
Molecule: ribosomal RNA, 444 nt
Filed under: uncultured bacterium
Lineage: Bacteria
Description: bacterial SSU rRNA
Rfam family: Bacterial small subunit ribosomal RNA
Source: RNAcentral